Long non-coding RNA from Gallus gallus (chicken), 8296 nucleotides. The record is from Ensembl. NCBI's taxonomy places the organism in Eukaryota, Metazoa, Chordata, Aves, Galliformes, Phasianidae.
CAAUUCUAAGCCCUCGGUAGCAAGGACUGUCUUAAAAUAAAGGCACAUACAGUGCCAGGCUCAGUAGGCAUUGUCUGUGCCAGAGGCCUGGAGGCACAAACCUACAGCAAAUGACUGCUCUGUGUCACGAGGUACAACUUUUCAGGCCUGGAUCUUGGCGCUGGAAGUCUUGAACCCCAUGGUUCCUCCUUUCCCUCUGUGCUGCGCCCCUGGCUCACUGGUGGGAGCAGUACCAUCUUGUGCUCUGCUCUAAGGCAAACUCUCAUGCUUGCUUUCCAGCACAUAUCCCCCCCUCUGCAUGGCACCCUGCUUCCCAAAUCCAGGAUCAAUAGGAGGCUCAGGCAGGGACUUGUAUUGUGCAGCUUUGGCUCUGUUCUGGAGGAAAGUUCCUGUGAGCUGGUAUGCGGGCUGAGCGCUGGAUCAGCCAGGAGCACUGGGUGGAACCUUUCCCAGCAUAAAGGAAGAUGUUUGGAGGGAUUACAGAAGGCAUAUUGGGUACCUGCAGAGGUUGUAAACCAGAGAGAGCUUUCAGUUUGCCAUGGACCAAGAUGCCUGAUACGCCUACGUAUUUGUUAGCAUUUAUAAUAAGAGUAUCAGUAGAUAUAAUGGGGCUUUUCGCACUCCCUUUUUGCGCAUAUAAAACACAAGCAAAGUGUACUCUGAAUUUAAUAACAAAGCAGGUGAGGAGUGUUUACUGCAGACUGCCCAGAGAGAUUUUGGAUGCCCCAUCCAUCCCUGGAGGUGUUCAAGGCCAGGUUGGAUGGGGCCCUGGGCAGCCUGGGCUGGUAUUACAUGUGGAGGUUGGUGGCCCUGCCUGUGGGGGGGGGUUGGAGCUUCGUGAUCCUUGAGGUCCCUUCCAGCCCGGGCCAUUCUAUGGUUCUCUCCCAACAGCAUGGUUGCUACCGCCCACAUGAAUGGGGAAUACCUCCAUUCUGGGCCCAGAGCCUUGUAGGUAAAGGUGAGUGUCCAUUAUGCAUAUCCCAUUUGUACGCUCAAUGGCGCCUUAAGCAGUGGCAACUAAAACAGUGAUAGGUGAAAGACACCUGCUUUAAAUAAAUACAGUAAUCUGCCCAAAGCUCCCUGAAUGCACUGGUGUUCAGUGAGGGCCCUGAACCUGCAGACAUACCUAUGCUUAACAACAUAAUCAUUAAAGAACAGAAACCUUUCCUUCUAAUCCCCCUCAUACAGAACAACAUGUGGAUGUUAGCAUAUUUAGACUGCUUUGCAUUCCUUCUUGCCUGCUUCUGAGAACAUACUACAUUUUAAAACUUGUUGGGUUCUUUCAUGUUUUAUUUGACCCUAUGUAAUUGCAUUCCUGAAGGAAUAACAGGCUCCCACAGUGAUUUAUACCCUGUAUUAAAUGUCAGUUUUGAAGAGACACAGUUAGCAGUUUGGUUUAACCUCCUGCCUUCCGAUGUAAGUUCAAAACCGAAGCGGAGCUCGGGAUCCAAGGGGAAAAGCACAAAGAUGAAAAUGGACUUAGGGCAGCGCGGAAGGAGGUGUCUGUGUUCCCAGCCCCUCACCUUUAGAAGGCACCAGGAUGAGAUUCCAUCCAGCCAGCCCUAUUUUUAACCAUCGUUUGCUUACCGCGCUGCCGCCCUUGACCAGCUGUGCAGGCUGUAAAUUAGCGCUGCACGACGCUCUGCUUUCUCCAGAACCUCCAGCAAUGGGCCAGAGCACUUUCUGCUGCAAAACCCACCCAACGGCCCAACACACCAACCCCCAGCAGCUUUGGCAUGUGUCCCAAUAGGAAGGUCAGCAAAAUAAAUCGUCCUUGUGAUUAAGAGCUGCUCCUUUGUUUUUAUGCGUGUAACCGUGCCUAAAUAGCGAGGCAGGAUACGUAUGUUAUUGCUGUUUUAAAGAUUUCAUUCCCUUUGUAGAUUUCCUUACGACAGACUUAACAACUGCUGAAUCGUACGUUAUGACCUAAUUAUGGGGGAUUCAGUUAAAUAAAUCUUGAUGUAAUGGUAUAUUCUUGAUGUAAUGGUGUUUUUAUGUGCGUGUGUGCAUUUAAAUGUAAAAGUAAAUGCAGCCUGUGUUGGGAUCUGACACUGCUUGAGUGGUCAUCCUUUUUAGAACCAGGAGUGAAGCACAUAAUGGGGAGUUCUUUAAGCAUCAGUGCUGUACCUACAACCCUAUUUCCCGUGCCCAGGAAAUGAACGUCCUGGCGAUCACUUUCCUUACCCUGCAGCUCUCUCAGGCAGGAGAUUUAGCUGGAGCUGCUCCAAGGAGGAUUCAGUUCUCACACUGAAAGUGAUAGAUUUGAUCCAUCGGACUCAUUAUUCCUAAAAAUAUCUUAGCCAAAGAUAUUCAAAUGAAUGCAAAGAUUAUGUGGGAUCAGCCCAGGUCGUUGUUCUGACCUCGGCACAUGACUCAUUUUUCAGCUGAAGUCAUUCAGGGUGUUUCCAUUGCCUUCUACAGAGCCUCACUUGUCCAUCAGGUGAAUGAUGAGAACAGAACUGACAAUGAUCUCUUAUUUUGAAGUGAAAAAUGGAGGUGAUAAUGCUUUCAUGGGUUGGGUUUAUCUCAACAGAGCCACGGAAUAAGUUGCCCUCUGGAAGCGGAUGUCACUGCUGACUCUUUGGGGAGCUAAUAUGACGAGCGUAGACCUGAUGCUUGUCUUUCAGAUGGAUAGAGUUAGAUCCUGGAUUGUGGAGGACUAAUGCUUCCAGGCAAGCAAAGCCUGCAGCAUCCUUUUGUUCCUGGUGCAUUCAAUGGGCAGUGCAUUGACUCAGCCUUUUACUCAAAGGACACGAGGAUGCUGUAGAUUUCUCCAUUUGACCAGCUGGAUUUGCACCUGAGUUUUGAUCCCAUGGCUCCAGCUGAAGCUCUCCUUACUUCUGCAGAGAUUGUCCCCUAUGCCAGCAGGACCACCUGAGCCAUUGGCCAUCACCCAGCAGGGAAAGGAUCCCGGGCAGCUUGUCAGGCAUGUUAUGGUGGUCACGUGUGUGAUCUGCCUCCCAAGAGGAAGACAUUUGGGUUGCUGUACCAGAGCCAUGGGACGAGCUUUGCUCACGCCAGCAAGCAGCGUGCCCACCUAGUCCCUGGAGAGCUGGUAAGCAGUUAGCACUUGCUAAGCGGAUAUUGCUUCAUCUUCUGUUAUUACUUGUGUUUGCUAGGUCAAACUGACACCAACUGGUCUGCCACGGCCACAUCAGAGUACCUAUCCAGAGUCUCUGGAGAGCUGCUGAACUGUAAGGAUGUGCAAAGCCCAUAUUCCUGGGACUGCCUAUGUUUGCUAGGUCCGACUGACACUGAUCUGCAGAGAGGAGCUAUGGGCACACCUUUGUUUUACUCUGGAGGAAUAUCCUCUAUCACUCCAGGCCUUAAUUCCUCAUCAGUGAUGAACUGCUGGUGGUAUCCACAGACUGUGGCUCUGUGAUUUGGUGUGGUGGGAAAGCAGAAGCCCCAAGGCACACUGGAGGUGUAACGUUCUGCUAUAAGAACCGAAGAUACAGAAGUGAUAUUAUUGGCAGCUUGGCUGCUGACUGGGUGAGCCCUACAAAAUUCCUUUGAUGUUUUAGUCAUAUUUGAUAGGAAUAGGGCCAGACAAAAAAAAAAAAAAAAAAACUCCAGAGUCUUCCAAAUCCUAAAAUGCAAAAACAAAGCGUUGGACCCUUUCAUUUCCUUCACAGUUCAGAGACUGCAAGGAAAAUGAUUUGAAGCAUUUCCUUCUUCUAACACCAAAACAGAGCCUGGCUUUUACAUAAGGAGAAAACUAUUUGUCGAGUGCUGCGAGCUGCGCUUUGCUAUCACACCGUUUCACAGAACCAGAAGAUACAAAUCAAUGGGGAAAUGUACAGUUGUAGUCCUGUGAUUUCUAUAUCUGCUUUUGCAAUGAUUAUGAUGACAGGACACAUCUCUUUCUUGCCCCCUAGAAGAUUUAUUUUUCUCUGCCCAGCCCUUUUUCUUAUGUUUCUGUAGUUCUCCGAAUAUAAUCUGCUGCCCUUAAUCACGUUUAAAAAAUCACACUGACUUGAAAGGAAAAUGUUAAGUUCUUCAAUGAAUGGAAAAAUACUUCUGUUGUUUAAAUGUAAGUAAUUAAACUGAGGACUUUCUCCAAAGUAAACCUUGACAAUCUAACAACCAUCUUUGGCUUUUGCGCCGAUGGAGUUUCUUUUACAUUUUUAAAUGCAUUCCUUGUUUCAGUAAAUGACACCGGGCUCACCAGCAGUGACUGAGUGAUUAGUUUAUCAUCCUCUUAGUGCAGCCAUCUAGAUCUUUAACUCUUUAAGCAGUGGCAUUUAAGACUUGAGAACACCCAGGAACACGCCUGAGGCUUUAGGCAUUCUCAAUUCAAGCAAAUCUUGGAUAUCAGGUGAAAACGAAUAAAAGAAAGUAGAUGGGCGCACUCUGAUAACGCUUUAAACAAGUCAGGUAAGCUAAAUUGCAAAUAAACAGCAGGCUUUUUAAAGAGGAAGCCAAUUCCCCUUUCCUGGGACCGCUUGGGUCAUCAGGUGUCUGAGCAGCAUAAAGUUACGUGGAGAAAAUCUCCCUGCGUACAAAGGGAGCAAAGGGUGACAGUGCAUUUCCCAAGGCUGUGGGCUGUGGGGCAGGGCUCCUCGCUGGCUUUAUUGCUGGUUUCUCAUGGUGCAGUCAAAACAACCAUUUUACAAAAGUUCUGGUUGUAACAAGUGUAUGUGAGCCGAAACUGCAUGUGAUGCCCUGUGCUGUAAUCAUGUCCACGCAGGGAUGCACAACGCCUGGCAGCAACAAGAGCCUUCGGAGAAGGAAGGGCCUCUUCUUACUUCAGAGCAGAAAGGUGGGGGUGCACUUUCAGGCAGAGGGAGAGGACUGACCUGCGGGCUGCUGACCAGCUGUGCCUGCUGCUCAGCAUGGUGGAUCUGCACCUAUCAUCCGAUCCUGCUCAGUAACGCGAGCCACAUCACCACGCGUGCCCUCUGCCAUGGCAGACACGGAGCUGCUCGCCCCGUGCAGGCCGAGUGCCCCGGGGUCUCUGUAGCUGGGUAGAGCCAGGACUAUGGGAAUGCAGCAACAGCACUGCGCCCAGAGCCCGGCUUUUGGUUAUUUAUUUUAUUUUUAAAAAUGCUUUUGUAGUUUCGUCCGCUGCCUGUGGUCGGUUGUUUGGUUUUGUUUUGUUUUGUUUUGUUUGCAGGCUGGACUUGGAGUUUUGCUGUUCGGGGAGAAAGGAGUUGAUGCCCAGCAGGGCAGACUGAUCCUGUGCAGAUGCUGCUCAGUGAGAUGAAUUCUCUGCAUCCCGAAGAAUGUUGAGUGGAUUGGGAGCUCCCUCUGAUUGAGCAGAGCUGUGCUCCUGCAAGCGUAGACCAGUUUGGUCUCCAGUUUUCUGGUGACUGUUCUGUUGCCUGCAGGCUGCAGCCAUUCUCAACGCUGUAAAUACCUUCAGACAUCUGCUCCAAGCAUACCUCCCUGCCAGAAGCUGCGAUGAAGGCAUGUUCACUUUUGCUUCUUUCUUACGGGGAAGAUUUUGCUUCCAUCUCCCUUCUGCUCUUCUUCUCAAGCCAGCGCAACACAAGGAGAGCCAACCCCGGUCAUUCUUCAAGAGCUGAGUGGUGAGGAUGUCAUAGAAUCAUAUCAAAGAAUCAUAGAAUGGCCUGGGUUGAAAAGGACCACCGUAAUCAUCCCCCCAUGAUGGUGCACUGGGUGUAUGGGGCAGUGCGUACCCUGAUAGCAGCAAAACUGUUGUUUCACGUGCCAUAAACAGGAGCUCAUACAACAACCCUGUGUCAUGUAGCUCUCCCGGUGUUCUCACAGGGACUGGAGCUCGACUUAAAUGCUGUGAGAGCCUUCUGUGUGCCGGGCUGGUUGUGGCACUGGGGGGACCGAUCAGUUGGGCAGCAAGCAGCCCACGGCAGGAGGGAUGGAACUGCAUUCUCUCUAAGGGCCAUUCCAACCUGAGCCACUCAGUGAUUGUGUCUCUUAUUCAGAACUGACGUGUGGUUUUGCUUCAUUUCUGAGGAUGGUUCAAAGUGCUCUCCUUUCCAGAUGGAGAUUCUGACAUGCCUUUAAUUCUAAUCUUCUCCUCUCCUCAUUUUUUUUUAAUCAGCCUUCACAGUUAAGCAUAUAAUUAGCCACUUGGAUAAAGUAGGUGUGUGGUGUCACAGAGUCACCAAGCUGAACCUAGGCCUUCUGAAGUCCGAAUCAACUCCAUCAUCAGAGCAGCCUUCCUGUAGGCACGCCAGCACUUGCAGCAUGGCCCAGAACCUCCUGCCUUUGAACUUCCCAGCUUUAGGCUGCUGCGUCAGCGUCUGUGUAUGAUGGAAGCAGUGAAGGGGGAAACAGGUAAUUGCUUAGGGAGGAAAAAGCCAAAAAUGAAACCAUGCCUUGCUGCCACUGACACGAGCUCUGCUCCUGCUCAUGUGCUUUUGGGUAAUAGAUUUUUAGGAGAGAAUGUGGUGGGCUUUGAUUCUGCUUACAGGUGUUGUCUCAGAGCAGAAGAGAACAGAGCAGGCAACAGUGAGUAAGAACACUUCUACCUUGAAAACAAACCCAGAGAACACCUCACUCCUUAGCUCACUCCAUCAAUAACAGAACAGUCUUGCUGCACUGCAGUGAACUGCUAAAAAGUUAUCGUCAGGAAGGACUGGAAGUACUUCUAGCUCUUUCCUUCCCAUAUACCUGCUUCAGAAGGACUAAACCUGUGGGGUGCCUGGAGUGAACUGAGUUGUCCUGCACUAACAUGGAUUGCUUUGCACUAGAGUAAGCCACUGAGGUCUCUGGUGAAGACCUUGCUGCACUUAGCAUGUUUUAGCUAAGUGUGAUGGAUUUGUGUUUAUGUGUCCGUGUGUGUUUAUAUACACAUACAUGGCUAUAAAAGUACAUGGGAUACUGAGUUGAAGUAGGACAGAACUGACAACGCCAGUAUAACCUGCAGCCUCAUUUAGAUGUCCGUGGAGAAGCAGCCUUUCCUCCUGAAGUGAUUUUCCUCAUCACAUGUCUGUGGGAAGCUGAUGCUCUGUUCACACAUAUUCACUACGUAGGCCUAUUUGGUGAGUAUUUUCUAUUAACGGCCCUUGGUCUGCUCGUGGUGAGCACUUCGUCACCGGGCAGGUGGUGCACAUGAGCCCCACCAGCAUCCUGUGGCUGGAGAUGGAAGCCACAAGCCAUGCCCGUGUUCUCCACCUCCGGUCAGAUGGGAAUCCCUAAGAGGAUUCCUCCUCUCUGCUGUCAGGGGAGGACGUUCACAGUCACGAGUCUGAAAUUCAGAGAUGUGCUGACAUUUCCAGGCACUUACAAUAAUGCUCACUGCUGAACUCCUUUGCUGCUGCUGAAAACCAAACAGAACGUGCUCAGAGCAAACUCAUCUAGCAAAUUCAAGCAUGUCCUCCUAGAACUCCUUUUGCAGCAGCUGUCCUGCUCUGCUUAUUUAUGCCUUGCGCUAGCAUCUGAAAUCAUUAAGGCCUCUGAUGAUAGCACAUCUCAAGACACAAUUAAAGGACAAAGACAAAUGUCAGCACCCCGGAGGUGCCACAUGGUUUUGCAGAGCAGCGGAUUUGGCAGUGCUGCAGGAGGAGCGCGGCACUGAAGUGUCAGAGUCACAGCUGAACACAAAGCCCAGUAUCAGUGCUGGAGACACCGAGGUGGUGUGGAUGCUAAGGGUGCUGCCAGCGUUGUGGUGUUCUCAAAACGUAUCUGUGGCUCAACCAAUCUGAAAUGAGUCUUCUCCUCUUAACCACGUGGCCUUACAGUGUUCCUUAGGAGAACGGCAGCCUUGUGGAUGCUCAUCCCUGGAGGUGUUCAAGGCCAGGUUGGAUGGGCCCUGGGCAGCCCGAUCUGGUGCCUGUGUAGUUUGUGGCAACACUGCCUGUGGCAUGGGGGCUGGAAAUGGAUGGUCUUUGGUGGUGAUGGGUUGGAAGUUGGACCUCCACGAUCACCUUGGAGGUCUUUUCCAGCCUUAAUGACUGUAUGAUUCUAUGAAUACAUCCCUUCUGGAGGUCCCUCUCACAUCUCAAGGAUGAUGUUUUGAUGGAAUGGGAAGCAAACGUAGGCUAAAAGCUAUGAUUAUUUCUAGAACGUGCAUGAGAAUAUGGAUAUUCCUCUUGUAACAGUGAUCAAGAAAACCAAUCAGUGUAUAAAUGAUUUUACAACACGUGGCUUCGGUCGUAGAAAUCUAGCAUUGUAGGAGUUGAAAGGGGCCCCUAAAGGUCAUCACGUUCAAUUCCUCUGCAGUGCACAGGGACACCCACAGCUCCAUCAGUGCUCAGAGCCCCGUCCCGUCUGCCCUCGGGGUCUGCAGGGAUGGGGCACCACUGCCUCUCCAGGCAACCUGUGCUGGAGGUGUUUGUAGCACAGGUCGGGAGCCUUUCCAUAGCGUACC